RNAcentral lists this unclassified non-coding RNA (200 nucleotides) under soil metagenome. RNAcentral's name for it is "partial contains internal transcribed spacer 2 and large subunit ribosomal RNA". The record is from RNAcentral.
UGCCUGUUCGAGCGUCAUUACAACCCUCAAGCACUGCUGGUAUUGGAUGAUACCACCUGGUGCAUCUCAAAAAAAUUGGCAGCGGCACUCAGCUUCUGGUGUAGUAAUUUUUCUCGUUACAGAGCCCAGGUGGUCACUUGCCAAAACCCCCCUCUUUUAAGGUUGACCUCGGAUCAGGUAGGGAUACCCGCUGAACUUAA